RNAcentral lists this ribosomal RNA (253 nucleotides) under uncultured bacterium. RNAcentral describes it as "partial 16S ribosomal RNA". It matches the Rfam family "Bacterial small subunit ribosomal RNA", at positions 524 to 776 of the family's 1533-position model. The record is from RNAcentral.
UACAGAGACUGCAAGCGUUAUCCGGAUUCACUGGGUUUAAAGGGUGCGUAGGUGGGCUAGUAAGUCAGUGGUGAAAUCUCCGGGCUUAACCUGGAACGGUCAAUCGAUACUGCGGGGCUAGAGUGCAGAAGGGGCGACUGGAAUUCUCGGUGUAGCGGUGAAAUGCGUAGAUAUCGAGAGGAACAACUGCGGCGAAGGCGGGUUGCUGGGCUGACACUGACGCUGAGGCGCGAAAGCUAGGGGAGCGAGCGGG